UUUGUGAACUUUUGUUAAUUUCCAAUGCUGAAAAAUGACUUUUGAGUUUUGAUUUGUCUACCGUGUCAUUAUUCAUCUACACUUGUAUCAAAAACAUUUUAAUUGUCAUUACAUAAUACAUAACAACAUAUUAAAAACGAUUUUGUAAUCACUGUAGUUUCAGUUAAAUAAAGAGGAACUCAAAAACUAAAUAAACCUUCUAUAGUUGAUGCAAAGAAAAAUCCAUCCAUUCAAAAGUCCUCCCUGCAUUGCUGUCCCAAGCUAAGAUUUUGACAAAGAACCUGAAGCAAAAUUAAGCAAACCUUAAUCGUUAACAGUAUAAACUUAUCAUCUUCCUUUAAUAUUGUGUUAACAUUACUCAAAUCAAAUACUACUAUGAAGAAGACUCGGUGAAUGUCUCAUUAAAUAAAUAGUGCAAAUGCAUUUCACAGAAAUCAUAAUCACAGAUCCAUUUGUGUAAAUACAUUUGGCAACUUGCUUGUGAAAACAUUCGAAUUGAAAAUGUCAUAACAACCAAAAAGCAGAGAACAUAAUUUAUACUUAAUUCUCUUAUGUAGAAACUUCACAAAUCAUUAUUCAUAAUAAAAGGAACUUUAAUUGCUCAAAAUAUAAAAAAUAUGAAGUACACUGCAAAGUAACUUUGAGUUGUAGGAGGUAAGGAGAAACUACUUCUUCCCCUAAUAUAUUAUAACGUAGGUAUUUUAAGAAGUCGUCAAACCCUUGAAAUAUCUUUCAAGGAAUCUUCCUACUAACUGGAAAUUUGGAGUUGAUUUCCUCCUUUAUGGUGUCUUACAUUUUGAUCGUGUUACAAUUUUUAUCCUCAUUUUGUCAUAUUUAAUUAGUAAAUGCUUUCGUAUAAUCGGUAUGUCACUUUACCUACAAUCUUUAUUUCGGCAAUACACCAUCUACAAUGAAUUUCUUUGUUAGUUCUUUUCAUUUAUCAUGAGAUCAAAUAUUAGUACUUGAAGAGAUGGUCACAAUUGAAAGAACUUCUUUUAGGAAUAAAAUGCAUUAAAAUCUCUAUUUCGUUUUCUUAUUUAUCAAAUCGAAUAGCUUACAACUGUUGGAACUUAGGGAAUAUUUUAAAGACAUAUGAAAUAGCCUAGAAGAAACGAAAAAUAACACUACCGUAGGGGUUAAUGUUCAAUGGUUUUAUGUUCUAACAAAUACUUUAACAUCUAAUGAGUUUUCAUUAAAUAUAGAGGCAACUUAUGAAGAGAUGCGGCAAAACAUCAUCAAAACUAAAUCAUUCUUUAGCCACUACAUAACACCUUCAUAUUUAUAGAGAACAUAAAAUAAAAUCAUAUAGAUGAUUCCUUGUGCAUGCUAGAAACAACUUACCAUUAAACUCUUUGUAAAGCUUGUCCUGUUAGUACCCUUUAGCCAAGAUCAUUUUUCCAUAUUCUUCUUCAUUUCUUUUUUUUUUCUCGGACACUGAAUCUAUUUAGUGAUAGCAAGCACAAUAUGAUUUUUUUAAUUGUAUAAAUAACUAAAUUCAACAUAAGGGAACCAAUAUGGAAGAACUUAAAAGUAAUAUAAAAUUGAAAUUUUUCUGCUCGAGUUUCAACAAUGCAAAAGGAAUUUUAACUUUUUAACUGGACUUCUUCAAACACCUGAUGGUGUUAGAUAUGUAAACAUAAGAUAAAUGUAAAGAAUCAUAACCAUAAUACAAAACCU
Molecule: long non-coding RNA, 1677 nt
Filed under: Solanum tuberosum (potato)
Lineage: Eukaryota; Viridiplantae; Streptophyta; Magnoliopsida; Solanales; Solanaceae
Description: long non-coding RNA (STUB_LNC000737)
Source: RNAcentral